RNAcentral lists this long non-coding RNA (496 nucleotides) under Elaeis guineensis (African oil palm). RNAcentral's name for it is "long non-coding RNA (EGUI_LNC006770)". The record is from RNAcentral. Lineage: Eukaryota; Viridiplantae; Streptophyta; Magnoliopsida; Arecales; Arecaceae.
CAUUCAGAGUGACUUGGUAAAAUUACAUCAGACUAGGGUUCAGGAUCUUGACUUCGCACCCAUUUCAGAUUACCAACUCAAUUUUUCAUAUAGAUGAAGCCUACAAUGGCAUCCACGACAAACAACCUUAAUUCGAAGAUUUUUCUCCUCAAUGAAUGGUUAAAAUUCGGUCCAAUAGCCUAAAGAAUCAAAUCUAAUAAUCUAUAAAUUUUGACUACCAGACUACGGCUAAACUUCCUAAUAAAAAAAAGAAUAAAGAAGACUCUAAAGUGAGGAACAUUUUUGGAUGGGAGAACUUUCAUAAUAAAAGCUAUUUCUCUCUUUAUUCUUUUCUUAUCCUCUAGUAUUUUCGAGCUUCAAUUAAUUUAGGCAUCGAAGCGUCCCAGUCAGGAUACUCUUAAGGAGUGUGGACUUCUUUUAUAAGUCCCCUUCAGCAUCUUGAAUCCUGGACAGCAUUCACUCUAGCCACGUUAGCACUUGAUUGGAGUCUCACAGC